GUAGGAUGCAAGCGUUAUCCGGAAUUAUUGGGCGUAAAGAGUUUGUAGGUGGCAAGUUAAGUUGAAUGUUAAAUCUCAGGGCUCAACUCUGGGGCUGCAUUCAAUACUGGCUAGCUCGAGGUAUGGAGAGGUAAGCGGAAUUAGUAGUGUAGCGGUGAAAUGCGUAGAUAUUACUAAGAACACCAAUGGCGAAGGCAGCUUACUGGCCAUAUCCUGACACUGAGAAACGAAAGCGUGGGGAGCGAACAGGAUUAGAUACCCUGGUAGUCCACGCCGUAAACGAUGAUCACUAGCUGUUCGGGGAGUCGACCCCCUGAGUAGUGUAGCUAACGCGUUAAGUGAUCCGCCUGGGGAGUACGGUCGCAAGGCUA
This 371-nucleotide ribosomal RNA is filed under the name uncultured bacterium. Its description in RNAcentral is "bacterial SSU rRNA". It matches the Rfam family "Bacterial small subunit ribosomal RNA", at positions 527 to 896 of the family's 1533-position model. The record is from RNAcentral.